AGAGAAAACUGGGUCUCACGGCCCGAUCUACCCCACACACACCUGUGAACCGUUUUAUAUGUGUCUGACGACCCUCGCGGGUCCGAAAGGCCAUCUUUACAAAACAUCUCAUAACAAGUCUUGAACGUCAAUGUUAUAUCUUAACAAAAACA
This 152-nucleotide unclassified non-coding RNA is filed under the name uncultured Basidiomycota. RNAcentral's name for it is "sequence contains ITS1". The record is from RNAcentral. Lineage: Eukaryota; Fungi; Basidiomycota.